This 636-nucleotide ribosomal RNA is filed under the name uncultured Bacteroides sp. RNAcentral's name for it is "bacterial SSU rRNA". It matches the Rfam family "Bacterial small subunit ribosomal RNA", at positions 33 to 658 of the family's 1533-position model. Lineage: Bacteria; Pseudomonadati; Bacteroidota; Bacteroidia; Bacteroidales; Bacteroidaceae. The record is from RNAcentral.
ACGCUAGCUACAGGCUUAACACAUGCAAGUCGAGGGGCAGCAUGAACUUAGCUUGCUAAGUUUGAUGGCGACCGGCGCACGGGUGAGUAACACGUAUCCAACCUUCCGUUUACUCAGGGAUAGCCUUUCGAAAGAAAGAUUAAUACCUGAUAGUAUGGUGAGAUUGCAUGAUAACACCAUUAAAGAUUUAUUGGUAAACGAUGGGGAUGCGUUCCAUUAGGUAGUAGGCGGGGUAACGGCCCACCUAGCCUGCGAUGGAUAGGGGUUCUGAGAGGAAGGUCCCCCACAUUGGAACUGAGACACGGUCCAAACUCCUACGGGAGGCAGCAGUGAGGAAUAUUGGUCAAUGGGCGAGAGCCUGAACCAGCCAAGUAGCGUGAAGGAUGAAGGUCCUACGGAUUGUAAACUUCUUUUAUACGGGAAUAAAGUUUCCUACGUGUAGGAUUUUGUAUGUACCGUAUGAAUAAGCAUCGGCUAACUCCGUGCCAGCAGCCGCGGUAAUACGGAGGAUGCGAGCGUUAUCCGGAUUUAUUGGGUUUAAAGGGAGCGCAGACGGGAGAUUAAGUCAGUUGUGAAAGUUUGCGGCUCAACCGUAAAAUUGCAGUUGAUACUGGUUUCCUUGAGUGCAGUUGAGGC